RNAcentral lists this long non-coding RNA (700 nucleotides) under Piliocolobus tephrosceles (Ugandan red Colobus). Its description in RNAcentral is "lncRNA (ENSPTEG00000002927.1)". The record is from RNAcentral. Lineage: Eukaryota; Metazoa; Chordata; Mammalia; Primates; Cercopithecidae.
GUGCAUUUGCAUAACAAUGAACUUUCCAUUAAAAAGAAAUCCUCAAGAAUUGUUUCACUGUUCAUUCUGUUCUGUCAUAGUUAUUGUUUGUUUCCCAUAUUUGAAAUUCUUUGCACAGUCACUUUCCCUAGCAUCCUUGUCUUGUUUCCUCUUUGUCCCUGUGUGUAUUUUUAAAGCUUUCUCUUCACAAUGGCAAAGACAGCAGCUGGCUUCAACUCCUGUUUAGAUACCAGUUGGAGGCCUUCGUUGAAUGAAAGAAGAUCCAUUAAAAGAGGAGAUGCCAUUCCAAGAAAACCAUGGAAGCAGAAAAGAGGAAGGCAGAAACACAGAUGAAGUAAGAAGCUAUGUCCUCUGUGCAUGGAGACAGCAGAUCUAUUAGUAGACAGGAUGAAGAGAAAAGGUGGGAAGAAAAGCCACAUGGCUGAUGUGACAAGGAAGAAACCUUCAAAAAUCUCAUUUUCAAGUUACAUGGCAAAUUCAGAUACCACCUACAUAAGGACCAUGAGAAAUGCUCCAAGAAGUAGCAUCCAGUUAAGCUCACUUUCUACAUUUCUGCUUUGGAUGUACUCUUCUUUGGCACCUGUCUGCCACUUCCAUGGAAGCGUGGCUGCAGUACUUUCCCUUUUCAUUUCCUUGUUGCUAGGUCAGGCUGAAAAAUAAAGACUAAGAUGACAAUAAAAGCUCCAGUGGAAAUAAAACA